RNAcentral lists this transfer RNA (85 nucleotides) under Thermoplasmatales archaeon SW_10_69_26. RNAcentral's name for it is "tRNA-Leu". It matches the Rfam family "tRNA". From Rfam's summary of the family: Transfer RNA (tRNA) molecules are approximately 80 nucleotides in length. Their secondary structure includes four short double-helical elements and three loops (D, anti-codon, and T loops). The record is from RNAcentral. Lineage: Archaea; Methanobacteriati; Thermoplasmatota; Thermoplasmata; Thermoplasmatales.
GCGGAGGUCGCCAAGCUUGGCCAACGGCGCAGCGUUGAGGGCGCUGUCCCGUAGGGGUUCGCAGGUUCAAAUCCUGCCCUCCGCA